Molecule: non-coding RNA, 563 nt
Organism: Pelobates cultripes (western spadefoot toad)
Lineage: Eukaryota; Metazoa; Chordata; Amphibia; Anura; Pelobatidae
Source: the annotation of a GenBank genome assembly
CAAGCUCCAUAGCCAAACCCACCUAGUUGGUAGCAAACCUCAGCAAUACAAGAGAGCAGGCAAUACAUUACACAGUACACACACACACACUAUAAACAAUUACAUUACACACACCCUGCACCUAUAAUGAGUACAGGGUGACUAAAACAUAAGAUAAAUAAAGCAGCCUACAUAAAUAGUCUGUCUGAAGGUAGACUAGGGGCUUUAAAGCCAGAUACGUGAAAGAGUCAUAGUCACAGGGGAGGAGGCUGGCAAGUAGGCCUCUCCAGGACCAAGUGGCGAAGGGCACUUCGUCACAACGGUAAAACGUCAGGCAGCCGAAGCUGCACACCAAUAGAGUCCUGUAAGAACGCUAAGGACCGGCCAGUGAGGAACUGAGAAAAGAAUGCUAGGGAGGGAGCUCACAUCAAGAGCUCACAUCACAAGCUUACACACAUGUAGAAGGAAAAAGUAGGAAAACACAUCGACAACGAGAACCCACAUGUGUACAUAGGUUAACCCCCCCUCCCCUCUACCGACCCACGAAACACAGAGGAGGGCACAAGGAAGAAAUGUAAGGCAAG